This 85-nucleotide small nuclear RNA is filed under the name Pongo abelii (Sumatran orangutan). Lineage: Eukaryota; Metazoa; Chordata; Mammalia; Primates; Hominidae. The record is from RNAcentral.
UAAAAUAAAAUAGGAACGAUAUAGAGCUUGGCAUGGCCCUUGUGCAAGGAUGACAUGCAAAUUUGUGAAGAGUUCCAUAUUUUUU